RNAcentral lists this ribosomal RNA (512 nucleotides) under bacterium enrichment culture clone ALO1_GLFRUDD03F0MM0. Its description in RNAcentral is "bacterial SSU rRNA". It matches the Rfam family "Bacterial small subunit ribosomal RNA", at positions 9 to 516 of the family's 1533-position model. The record is from RNAcentral. RNAcentral also lists the same sequence under 1 other name.
GAGUUUGAUCCUGGCUCAGAUUGAACGCUGGCGGCAGGCCUAACACAUGCAAGUCGAGCGGUAGAGAGAAGCUUGCUUCUCUUGAGAGCGGCGGACGGGUGAGUAAUGCCUAGGAAUCUGCCUGGUAGUGGGGGAUAACGUUCGGAAACGGACGCUAAUACCGCAUACGUCCUACGGGAGAAAGCAGGGGACCUUCGGGCCUUGCGCUAUCAGAUGAGCCUAGGUCGGAUUAGCUAGUUGGUGAGGUAAUGGCUCACCAAGGCGACGAUCCGUAACUGGUCUGAGAGGAUGAUCAGUCACACUGGAACUGAGACACGGUCCAGACUCCUACGGGAGGCAGCAGUGGGGAAUAUUGGACAAUGGGCGAAAGCCUGAUCCAGCCAUGCCGCGUGUGUGAAGAAGGUCUUCGGAUUGUAAAGCACUUUAAGUUGGGAGGAAGGGCAGUUACCUAAUACGUGAUUGUUUUGACGUUACCGACAGAAUAAGCACCGGCUAACUCUGUGCCAGCCGCC